CGUGGGUAACCUGCCCAAGAGAUCGGGAUAACACCUGGAAACAGAUGCUAAUACCGGAUAACAACAGAUGAUGCCUAUCAACUGUUUAAAAGAUGGUUCUGCUAUCACUCUUGGAUGGACCUGCGGUGCAUUAGCUAGUUGGUAGGGUAACGGCCUACCAAGGCGAUGAUGCAUAGCCGAGUUGAGAGGCUUAUCGGCCACAUUGGGACUGAGACACGGCCCAAACUCCUACGGGAGGCAGCAGCC
RNAcentral lists this ribosomal RNA (246 nucleotides) under uncultured Lactobacillus sp. RNAcentral's name for it is "partial 16S ribosomal RNA". It matches the Rfam family "Bacterial small subunit ribosomal RNA", at positions 116 to 355 of the family's 1533-position model. The record is from RNAcentral. Lineage: Bacteria; Bacillati; Bacillota; Bacilli; Lactobacillales; Lactobacillaceae.